RNAcentral lists this ribosomal RNA (301 nucleotides) under uncultured bacterium. Its description in RNAcentral is "partial 16S ribosomal RNA". It matches the Rfam family "Bacterial small subunit ribosomal RNA", at positions 509 to 807 of the family's 1533-position model. The record is from RNAcentral.
CAGCAGCCGCGGUAAUACGUAGGGUGCGAGCGUUGUCCGGAAUUACUGGGCGUAAAGAGCUCGUAGGCGGUUUGUCGCGUCGUCUGUGAAAUUCUGCAGCUUAACUGUAGGCGUGCAGGCGAUACGGGCAGACUUGAGUACUACAGGGGAGACUGGAAUUCCUGGUGUAGCGGUGAAAUGCGCAGAUAUCAGGAGGAACACCGGUGGCGAAGGCGGGUCUCUGGGUAGUAACUGACGCUGAGGAGCGAAAGCGUGGGUAGCGAACAGGAUUAGAUACCCCAGUAGUCCCUGUCUCUUAUAC